GUCUACAGCCCUACCACCCUGAACACACCUGAGCUUGUCUGAUCUCGGAAGCUAAGCAGGGUCGGGCCUGGUUAGUACUUGGAUGGGAGACCAUCUGAGAAUACUGGGUGCUGUAGGCU
RNAcentral lists this ribosomal RNA (119 nucleotides) under Aotus nancymaae (Ma's night monkey). The record is from RNAcentral. Lineage: Eukaryota; Metazoa; Chordata; Mammalia; Primates; Aotidae.